This 459-nucleotide ribosomal RNA is filed under the name Pseudoramibacter alactolyticus. RNAcentral describes it as "bacterial SSU rRNA". It matches the Rfam family "Bacterial small subunit ribosomal RNA", at positions 28 to 487 of the family's 1533-position model. The record is from RNAcentral. Lineage: Bacteria; Bacillati; Bacillota; Clostridia; Eubacteriales; Eubacteriaceae.
GACGAACGCUGGCGGUAUGCUUAACACAUGCAAGUCGAACGAGAAGUUUUUUAUUGAACCUUCGGGGGAUAUAAGAGACAGACAGUGGCGAACGGGUGGGUAACGCGUGGGCAACCUACCUAUCGGAGCGGGAUAGCCUCGAGAAAUCGGGAGUAAAACCGCAUAACACGGAUAUAUCGCAUGAUGAAUCCGUCAAAACUCCGGUGCCGAUAGAUGGGCCCGCGUCUGAUUAGCUAGUUGGUAAGGUAAGGGCUUACCAAGGCAACGAUCAGUAGCCGGUCUGAGAGGGCGAACGGCCACACUGGAACUGAGACACGGUCCAGACUCCUACGGGAGGCAGCAGUGGGGAAUAUUGCGCAAUGGGGGCAACCCUGACGCAGCAAUACCGCGUGAGUGAAGAAGGUUUUCGGAUCGUAAAGCUCUGUUAUUGGGAAGAAGCAGUGACGGUACCCAAUGAGA